This 268-nucleotide non-coding RNA is filed under the name unclassified sequences. The record is from Rfam.
UAGUAGCCUGAUGGAUCGAAAGAUGAAGGGUGAGAAGCUGGAUGGAAAUCUGGUAAAAGGAAUAGGCAUGUUGCGUAAGGAUAAUUAACCACAGAGGGCGAGAAGUUCGUCCUUAUCCUCAAAAGGCUAAAAGAGGAGAUAGUGCUUCUGAUAAUUCAGAAGGGCGUCGUGAAACACAUUUUGUGGCUCGUCUGUAACUCCCGGAGGUGAGAACACCUCUUUGUACACGGGGCGAUAUAGGAGUCUAGAAGACUGGCGUGUACCUACA